UACAAUAACCAUCAGAGCAUUACAACAAAUCACAGCACAUACCCAAGGCAGACAGAGCUGCGCUCGGUAGUGAAGUGAAAGCACACUAUAAAAAAAAACUACUGAAUAAUAAUAAUAAUAAUACGAGACUGAAGUUACUCUCCACGAAGGUUCGGAACCCAAUGUUGAACAACGAAUUGAAAUACAAAGUUUAUAACAUUCCAAGGUUCGAAACUCAAGGUUUAACACCGAAUUGAUAGACAGAUUUUAUGAAGUCACGGUUCGAAAUCCACUGUCGAAAUCCGACGUUUGAAAACCGAAUGUUUACAAAACUGGAAAUCUGGAUUUUAUAAAACCCAAAAUUUUUGGAAAGCUACUUUUGAAAAACCAAGAUAUGGAGUCCGAACUUCUGAACUGUGUAUAUAUGUUACCCUUGUAACUUUUGACUGCACGUUUGGUGUAGCCUUGGCUGUUUGUAUAUAUAUUUGUUGUAAGCUGUUUUUAUGUUGGUGAUUAAUAAUAGUUUUACAAAGAAA
Molecule: long non-coding RNA, 515 nt
Organism: Octopus sinensis (East Asian common octopus)
Lineage: Eukaryota; Metazoa; Mollusca; Cephalopoda; Octopoda; Octopodidae
Exons: 2
Source: RefSeq, a predicted model, not a curated record